RNAcentral lists this long non-coding RNA (25624 nucleotides) under Jatropha curcas. Its description in RNAcentral is "long non-coding RNA (JCUR_LNC002852)". The record is from RNAcentral. Lineage: Eukaryota; Viridiplantae; Streptophyta; Magnoliopsida; Malpighiales; Euphorbiaceae.
AAAAAAAAAAAAAAAAAAAAAAAACAUUUCGGAAAAGCAGGAAAAAGGGAAUUAUUGAAACUAAUCAAAAUUUAAUUUUUUUUGAUUUAAAAGUCUAUACAAUCAAAAUUAUAAAAUUGAUUAAUAUUGGUGGCAACAAUUUAUUAAUAGAGAUACACAUUAAAUGGGAGUAAAAAUAGAAAAAUUAAAAAAAUUAGACUUUAAAAAAAGAAAACGAACUAUAAUAUAUAAGUGAAAAAGAAUUUAAGACUAUUAUUAUGAGACAGAGUAAGUAUUAAUAAGUAAAUCUUAAAAUAAAAAAUUAAUUUAAAAAUGAAAUUUUUUUAGUGUUAUUUACUGACAUCUGAAUUUUAUUACCAAAGACUGUAUAAUUUAAUUUGAAAUUUAAUUACAAUUAAGGUUUUUCGCACUUUUCGUAGAUAAAAAAUAAACUUUUAAUAUUUCACAUUAGUGAAAAAAAAUUAAAUAAAAAAUUAUGAUUAAUUAGAUUAACUAGAGCACGUGUCUGAAAGUCAAGACAGUAAUUGUCUUACGAGGCAAAAAGAGUUGAUAGUGUUACUUGAUGAUUAUAUUUAAAAAUAAAAAUAAAAAAUUAAAUAUUGUCAAAUAAAAAAACAAAAAGGUGGAUCUUCAAUCUUCAUCAAUAUUAAAAAAAAAAAAAAAAAAAAACACAAUUGCGUAAAGCAUGAUAAAUGGAAUAUUGAGUAAGAGUAAGUGCCAUUUAAAUAAUUAAUAUAAGUCACAGUUCGUGAUCCCAUGCUUCACGUGUCACAACAAACCUUAUGUUCUUUAUCAUCUUUCGUUGACUAAGCAGCACAACUCAAAAAUCUGUCAAAUUAACGGUCAAGAUUUCACGUCGUAAGUUAUUACCAUACAUCACAGACCUUACGCGGGGUCUUCCCGUUUUCCAAUAAUUAAUAUUUUACUACAAUUAACGCUAAGACAACUUUCUCUCUCUAUCCCUCUCUCUAAAAAGAACAUACAGAUACAGGCCCUCGCUUUCUCUCUCUCUCCACAUAUCUUUUCUAGCUUUCUUUCUUUGAGACUUUUGAGCUUCUCUUCUUCUUGUCUGCGGAGAAGUGACACUGCUGUUUAGAGCUAUACAUUCACCAUUUAAAAUUGUAGGUAAUGAUUAAGGUUCUUUGCAUGCUUUUAACAUUUGAGCUUUUUUUUUUUCCAUAGGAGCUGUUAAAUCUUCAAUUUUUAAGAGAAUUAUGGUGUUAAAAGAGUUCAUAUGCUUGUUUCAAGUGAAUUUGGAGAUGUGUUUUCAAUUUUUAAGGUAUUGGUUUUUCAUUAAAGUUGUACUCUUGAACUCUUUAGCUUCUUUGGAAUUUGGUGGCGUUUGCUGUUUUAUUUUGGGGUUGAAAAUGGUUGAAUUUGUAGAUCUAUUAUUGAUAUUUGAUAAACUAUGUUCUGGAUUCUUGAGGUUUAAGAUGUUAUGUUGCAUUAUCCUGUAAAGGGGGAGUAUUGAAAGAUGGAUCUAAUUCAACUGUGGUUGUUAGGUGUCAAAGUCUCUCAUGCUAGCAUAUAAGUCUUGAAUUCUGUUUGGGUUGCAGAAAUUGAACUGUUAUGGGUUACAUACAGGAAUGAGAACUGAUUAAGUGGUGAACUAAAAGUUAAGGCUGACAAUUUUAGGUGAAUGCAUGUGGUAUAGUCAUGUCUUGGAAAAUAAGUCAUUAAUGAGUUUAAAAUCAAUUGCAAGAUGCUUUAAAAUUGUUAUUCUAGCUGCAAAUAGUCUGAUUAGAGUUUCCUAAUUCUGCUAGUGAAAGUCUUUGCCAAGGCUUAGCUAUACAGUCAGCCAAAAUGGGUGAAGCCACCAACCUUUAGGUAUCAGCAUCUAAGGUUUGAUGCCACUGACAACUGAUAAAUUCUUUUUAUGCUGUACGUGCGUGUAUGGUGAUGAUGUGUUCUAUAUCUCUUUUAAUUCUUUCUGAAUAUUAUAUGUUCUAAUUCAUGCGUUGAUUGCAGUUACUAAUAUUGCUGUUGUUUUUGUUUGCAGAAAAACUGACAACUAAACAAUCCUGCAGGUUCAUACUUGGCUUAGAAUCCCAGACAGAGUUUUGGAAAUUCACUUGCUCUCUUUCCUGGGAUUUAUGCGGACAUAACAAUCACUUGUAAUUUAAGUAGUGCAUAUAUGGUAGUCACCUUAAGUUAGAAUUUGUGUUAUUAUUUUAUUGCAUAUAAAUAUGCCUUGGUGGGGAAAGACAUCAUCCAAAGAAGACAAGAAGAAAACAAAUGGAAGUAUCAUUGAUGCAAUACAUCGAAAAUUCAAGAUUGCUUCGGAAGAAAAAGACAAUAGUAGAUCAGGAGGUUCUUGGAGACGGGGUAGUGACACUGUUUCAGAGAGGGGAUCCAUAUCACGGGUGCCGUCAAGGUCACCAUCGCCUUCCACACAUGUUUCGCGCUGCCAAAGUUUUGCAGAAAGGCCUCAUGCCCAACCGCUUCCACUUCCUGGGGCGCGCCAUGCUGGCAUUGGACGUUGUAAUUCUGGAAUUAGUGCAUCAAUAAGACCAAGACUGGAUGGAGGUUUGAAGCCUUUGGAUUUGCCUCUUCCAAAACCUGGAUGUGGCCCUAAUAGAUUAGGACAUGCUUACACUGAGGGUGAUAUAGCUACAGCUUCUGUUUCUAGUGCUAGCUCCACUGACAGUGACUAUCCAUCUGAUUCACGAAUCCUUAGCCCCCUCACAUCUGACUAUGAAAAUGGAAACAGAACUGCUACAAACAGUCCUUCGAGGUGAGUUUUUGUGUAUAUGCGCAAUGAAGAUCAUGUUUUUUGACGUGCCAUAUGUGUGGUUCUGUUUUCUCUCUGACAAAAUUUGUCUUUCUAUUUUGAAGUAUGAAGCACAAAGAUCAAUCCCAUAUUUUCAGUCCAAAGUACUCAAAAGAGAUAUUGAAGCCUGCUGACUUUUCACUCAAUAAUCAGAUUCCUUCUACAUCACCAAGACGGGCUCCUUUAAGCACUCAUGUACAAAAUAUGCAGAUUCCUCAUCGAGGUGCACUCUACAGUGCUCCAGACAGCUCAUUGUCAAGUCCUUCUAGAAGCCCAAUGAGAGCAUUUGGACCUGAGCAAGCUAUUAACUGUGGAUUAUGGGCAGGGCUAGGCUCUGGACAUUGCUCAAGUCCAGGUUCUGGUUAUAACUCUGGGCAUAACUCAAUAGGUGGAGAAAUGUCAGGACAGCUGUUUUGGCCAAAUAGUAGAUGUAGCCCCGAAUGUUCUCCAAUACCUAGUCCCAGAAUGACAAGCCCUGGUCCCGGCUCCAGAAUACACAGUGGUGCUGUCACCCCUCUGCAUCCACGAGCUGGAGGUGCUUCCAUGGAAUCACCUACAAGCCGGCCUGAUGAUGGGAAGCAACAAAGUCAUAAGUUGCCCCUCCCGCCGAUAACAAUCUCUAAUACUUGCCCCUUUUCACCUGCAUAUUCAACUGCAACAUCUCCUUCAGUGCCCCGAAGUCCUAAUCGGGCAGACAAUCCAACAAGUCCUGGUUCACGUUGGAAGAAGGGUCGUCUGCUGGGGAGAGGCACGUUUGGACAUGUGUAUCUGGGGUUUAACAGGUCAGUUGGAAUGGUUAUAUGCUUAAUAUUUAUGCACUUGAGAGAGAACGUAUAAUUAUCUUAUAGCUAGCUUUGACCUAUGAUCAUAUAACAUUGUUAUUGAAUUGUCCAUGACUUGUAGUACUUUAGAACAAUACAUGAGAUUGAAAUCACUAAAAUCAUUGUUGUUCCAAAAACAUGCAGUUUGUCUUUAUGUUAUAAAAUGUAAGAAUUUAGGGGAAUAAUAUAUUAUAUGAUAUUGCACUUCAAUGGCUAAAGUGCAUUCAAAUUAUUAGAUUUGGGACUAAAAUAUGCUUGAAUUUCACAAAUCAAUGGUUAAAGUGUUGUAUAAGUUUCCAAAGUAUCAUAACUAGGUGUUCCUUAAGCUGAAUCUCUGGAGUUUGUAAUAGUUUUCUUCAACCUCAAGCACUGUCGUUGGAAUUAUUGUGUCUUUGUUUUACUUCAGAAUUAAACCCUGGAUUUGAAGGUAUCAUUAAACUCCAGAGAAGCUGAGUUAUGAACAAAUCUUUUCAUGAGCAUUCUCUUCUCCAAUAAUUUUAACUGUAUUAUGCACGUCUCAUUUGAAUUUGUUGUUUGGGCUUUAGUGAAAGUGGGGAGAUGUGUGCAAUGAAGGAGGUAACUCUAUUUGCAGAUGAUCCAAAAUCAAAGGAAAGUGCACAGCAGCUGGGACAAGUAAGUUUACUUGGGUAGAUUCAUUGGGAUUUUACAGUUUAAUGGCCAUAAAUCUUAAAAUACAGUUUACUUAUCUGAGAGAUUUCUUAAUGAUUGAUAAUAUCUGGCAGGAAAUUGCAUUGUUAAGUCGGCUGUGGCACCCUAAUAUAGUGCAGUAUUAUGGAUCUGAAACGGUAGGUGCUUUUAACAUAUGCUUUCAUUGUUAAGGACAUUAUUUUUAUAAGGUUGAAUUAAUGUGAUUAAUAUUGUUUCAUGCUAAAUAUUCUUCUUUGGUAUGUAUUCCUUGUGCCAAAUUGCAUUGUUGAUUAUUGUUCCAGAAUUUUGGAACUGCUAAGAGGUUGCAACGCUUUACAAGCAGAUAUAUUUCUGCAAUAAUCUAUUGGUUUUUGUGUUUAAAUUUUUAUAGUGUCAUAUUGCUACCUUGUAUAAUGUUAAGGUAGUGUUAUAUUUUAUUUUGAUUAUCAUUAGAAAUAAAUUAGCAAUCAGUCGUCUAGAUAACCUGGUUCUUUAUUGGCUGAGCAGGUUGAUGAUAAAUUAUAUAUAUACUUGGAGUAUGUUUCGGGCGGUUCCAUCUAUAAACUUCUUCAAGAGUAUGGUCAGUUUGGUGAAAUAGGCAUUCGUAGUUACACUCAACAAAUCUUGUCCGGGCUUGCUUAUUUGCAUGCUAAAAACACUGUCCACAGGUAUGACUUUUUGUUGCUACUUCAUGGUCUGGAUAUAUUAGAAACAUGGUUUAUCAAAUGUUAGAGCAUGAUUAUGCUUAUGUCUAGUUUUUGUUUUAUACAGAGAUAUUAAAGGAGCAAAUAUUCUUGUAGACCCCAGUGGCCGCGUGAAACUGGCAGAUUUUGGGAUGGCAAAACAUGUGAGAAUAGCUGUCUAAAAUUUUUUGAAAAAUUGCUGACAUUUAUAAAUUUUGCAAACUAAGAAAAUCAAUCUCCUAUAGAUGUUGGUCGUUCGCAAACUAAGAAAACAUGGAAGUAAGAUGCUUUUAUGCAUGCAUAUUAACCUGUUAGCCAUGUGCUCUAACCUGUUUUAACUAACUAAUCUCCAGAUAACUGGGCAGUCUUGUCCACUAUCAUUCAAGGGGAGUCCCUACUGGAUGGCGCCUGAGGUCUGCAUUUUUUACUGCAUAUUCCAUUUCUGCCUUUAGUUUGUGAUGAUGCUAAUCAGUUUCUUUUAAAUGUAUUGAAAUUAUUUUCAGGUGAUAACAAAGUCGAAUGGUUGCAAUCUUGCUGUUGAUAUAUGGAGCCUUGGUUGCACAGUUUUAGAGAUGGCAACAUCAAAGCCACCAUGGAGUCAAUACGAAGGGGUUAGUAAUACUACAUCUAUAAGUUUAGUUAUUAGAUUUGUGACAUUACUUGUGCAAAUUAGCAUAGCAUUUCCCUUGGUGAAAGUGAGAGUACUUGAGUCCUGACCCGUUGAUUGUUUGACCUACUUCUUCAAAGGUUGCCGCUAUGUUCAAGAUUGGAAACAGCAAGGAGCUUCCUGCAAUUCCUGAUAAUUUCUCAGAUGAGGGGAAGGACUUCGUGAGGCAAUGCUUGCAACGGGACCCAUCACAUCGCCCUACGGCUGCUCAACUUUUGGAGCACCCUUUUGUGAAAAAUGCUGCUCCAUUAGAGAAACCAAUUUUGGUUGCUGAGCCUUCAGAAGCAAUGCCCAUGGUUAUGAAUGCAGGAAGAUCAAUGGUAUUGGGAAUUCUCUCUUUAAUUUCCAUGCUACCUUCAUGUCUUCAAUUUGUUAUAAGCCAAAAAGUGCAUAGUUGUUUUUACUUGCAUUCAACAAUAAAUUUUGUCCUCUUCAAAACUGGGGUGCAGUUUCAUGAGCAUUGUUUUUUGCUCUUUGAUGAUCUAGUGAUGAAAAUUCAACAUUUGAAAUUUGACUCUCUUAUAUGAUCAUUUUCAUUUCCAUCACGAGUUUGAUUUGCUGAAGUGGAUCACAUCUAUUGCUUGCUACAUUGUCAUGGAGGGUUUAGAAUAGUCAAUUUUAACAUUUAGGCAGAAAAUGUUACCUUGUUUUUGUGAAUAUAUUGUGAAGAGAAGUUGUUUUUAACUUUGAAUUUGAGUGUAUUGGCACCUUCUCGCCUCCCCCAAACCUCCCAACAAGUAAUGGAAAAGUGUUGGCCUGCCUAGUUAGCUGUUUCAGUUAUAACAUAUUUUGUUUUCUUUCUGAUGCUUUUGUAUGUAUUUUCUUGGUCAUUUCUCUAUCUUUUUCUACCUUAUCUGCUUUGACUUUUAUGACCUUUGACUUGACUUUUGGGUUUCAAUCUUGGAUAUGAAAUUAGGGCAUUGGGCACGCCAGAAACAUUGCAGGCUUUGAUUUAGAAGGGUUUGCUAUCCAUCAAUCUCAAGGCUCAAAAACUGCAGGGUCCAGGUUCCUUUUAUCUCUUUCUCUUCUCCAAUGCAUAUCUGUACGUUUAAUCUACAUUUGCUUGUGUGAAUAAAUGCACUCACACACUCCUAUAUGUGCUUGCAGAAAUACAUAUUUGGGUUAUAUCUGGUGAACUUCAUAUGGCAUAUAUGAGGAUUAUUUGCAAGUCUAUUAUUAUCUUAUUAAGAUGAACUAGUAGUCUAGUACUAUAGACAACAUAGUUUAGCUGAAAUAGAGGUGUUUCUUAUUCUAUGUAUUAUAUAUACUACAUGUUAUGUUUCUCAUUUUGAUGAAAUUUGGGGCAUUCAGUAUCUCUUUAUCACCAAUCGCCAUUCAUACAACUGAAACAAAAUAAAUGUGGUGGUGGUGGUUGCUUUCUUCAAAUGUUAACAGUAGUUUAUAUCUAGCAUUGUUUGUUCUGUAAAUGAUGAUUAGCAUGGUAUGUUUUCCUCCAUUCGUCUUGCUCUUGAACCAUGUUAAUGCUGUUUUAAAAUGUGCUCUACUGAAAGGAAGAAAAGCCUGUCCAUGCUUUUAUGAUGGUUUCAAUCUGCAACGAGUUGGUUUUUUUCCAUGACUCAUGUUAGUUACUUGAGUUGUUCAGAACAUGUAAGCUGACUAUUAUUUUUAUCUAAUUGACACCUUUUAUUUCUUUACUAAAUUUUGCCCUUCUAUUCCAGUGAAAUUCAUACACCGAAGAACGCAUCCUGUCCAGUUUCUCCAAUUGAGAGUCCUCUUCUACAUUCAAGGUCCCCACAGCAUAUGAGCGGACGAUUGUCUCCAUCUCCUAUAUCUAGUCCUCAUACUCAAUCUGGUGCAUCCACACCUCAUACCGGUGGUAACGGUGCAAUCCCAUUUCAUCAUGCAAUGCAGCCAACAACUUACUUACAGGAAAGCAUGGGAAUGAUCCCAAGGUCACAUAACAUUUUGUAUGCCAAUAGCAAUAAUCCAUAUCAGGAUCCCAAGCCUGAUUUUUUUCGAGGGAUGUCACAACCCUCUCAUGUUUUCCGGGAGCUGAUUUCUUCAGAUAAUAGCUCUCUUGAAAACCAGUUUGGACGACCUGGCUAUGCAGACCCCAGGGAACAAUAUAAUAGGCAGCCUGUCUUGGCUGAUCGUGUGUCUCAGCAGCUCCUUAGAGAUCAUGGGAAGCUGAAGCCAUCCCUGGACCUAAAUCCAACCUUCUCAAUGCUUGGCCGUACCAAUGGAAUCUAACUUGCACUGAAAACAAUUUUCAGUACAUUCCUUUAAAGUCAAGAUUGACCAUGUGGUUAAGUUUGGAUCUUCUGAAACCUUGAAUGGCAGAAAAAAUGUUUGGAAGCAGAAUCUGAAUACUUGGAUACAGAGUUCAUAUGAUAACCAAUUUGCAUAAAAUAUGCAUGGAGAUGAUGGAUAGUUGGCAACACUCAAAUUGUUCUCACUUGUGAUGAUUGAUUCAAGAUUUUUACUUGGCAACUAUAAUAUUUCACCUUAUCUUUAAUUAAGCAUGUUUUCAUGUCAGCUGUGAUGGUGCAAAAGCUCAUAUUUGAACAAAUGGUUUAUUCGGAGGAGAAGGUGGCAGCAUUCAGCAGCUCCUUGAAACCGGGAACAUAUAUACUGGUGUAAAGAACUGUAUAUCCUAUUACACUUGAAACGGAGUAAGAAGAGCUAUUACCAUUUCUGAACUUUAAUAGCUUGUCUUUUUCCUUUCACUGUUUUUUGGGUGGAAGGAUAUUGGUGGAAAUUUAAAAAAUUUUGUACAGAAAGUUGGAGUCCAGAUUUUGUCGAACAAUGACGAUCGAGAAUUGGAUGCUUGACCUGAUAUUUUUUUUUGUAUCAGUAUAUGGCAGCUCAAAAACAGAACAGACUAUGCUGCUCUGCUGAUACUAUUGCAUCUACUUUAUCUACAUUAAAUCAAAUUGACGACAUCUAAUUUAACCAUCUGUAAAUUUAUUACUUGUGAAUGAAAUCCUUUGAACAUUGUGUCUGCAAACUAAGAUUCUUUGAAACCCUGUUCACUUUGUCUUGGUGAAGUUGAAGCUAAAAUCCUGCAAUUCUUUGCAGUUCUUGAUCUUAAGACAGAGGGCUUGGACUUUUUGAAUCAAUGAUCUGUUUUUUGCAUCGUUUGUUAAAGACUGAACAAAUGUAACAGUAGAAUAAGAAAUUAUUCACAAAUGUAAAAGGAGCAUACAUCAGUAAAGUCUCUGACAGAAAAACUUAACAGGCUCCUUACAUUCAGCUACCCUGAACAGAACAGAGAAAGGUAAGAGUGGCUUGCAUCACACAGGAAAACACCCACAAAUCAUCACAGCCUCGCAAGGAUUGCCACCCAACAAAUAUUUGAGAGACUUCAAUAAAUCAAACUCCAGUAAAUCAGAAUAUUGUUCGACCGGUUUAGGUCGAAACUUCUUAUUUAUAAUAUAAUUCAAAAAACUAAAGUCUAAAACACGAGAUUUAGACAUUUCUCUUGGGGAAGAACUAAACUUAAAGGUCUCCACAUGAAUACACGGGUCAGGACGUUCAGGAUAAAUGAACCCGGCUUUAAUGGUGCAAGGUGUCCUUUCCCCUACACAAGAUAUGGAACCACGUCCAGCUACGUGAUAUGGGCGAUAUGGCAUUUGUGUAUGCGCAACGCUAUCCGUAUACCCGAUAUCAUCAUCAUCAGGCUCUAAUUUAGGUUUUAAAAAGUAUAGGGGAAAUGGGCAAUCAAAUUUCACAGGAGAUAACAGAUAUGCACGAAAUGGAGAGAAACACACUUCGUCAACAAGUAUGAAGUCCAUCCGGUAGGGCGAUUGAUAUCCAGACACAGUAUCUGUUUUUGAUUGCUAGUUUGAGAUAAAAAGCCUGGAACCUCCUACACAAUAGGAGUCUAUUGUAAUCAUAGGGGAAUAUUCAGAGUAUUCCAUAGGUUCAGGAAGUUCGGUCCAGCUAUUUUCAGUUGGAUCAAACAGCUCAAAACUUGGACGUCCGACAUAAAAACCACUUCGAUAAAGCAUUUGGGAGAAAACACAAACCUUACCGUCAAAGAUAACCACAGAAGGGCGGACUUUCGAAGCCUUCAUCUCAGAUAAUUCGCCCAGCAGCAUCCCCCGUGAAAAAUCAUAGCCUAACACAGUGGAUUCCCAAUCCCCCUCUUUGCCCCGUCUUUUUAUAUUACUCAGAUCCGGGAUGAUGUACCGACCGCCGAACAUAUAUGGUUUAUUCGGAGGAGAAGGUGGCAGCAUUCAGCAGCUCCUUGAAACCGGGAACAUAUAUACUGGUGUAAAGAACUGUAUAUCCUAUUACACUUGAAACGGAGUAAGAAGAGCUAUUACCAUUUCUGAACUUUAAUAGCUUGUCUUUUUCCUUUCACUGUUUUUUGGGUGGAAGGAUAUUGGUGGAAAUUUAAAAAAUUUUGUACAGAAAGUUGGAGUCCAGAUUUUGUCGAACAAUGACGAUCGAGAAUUGGAUGCUUGACCUGAUAUUUUUUUUUGUAUCAGUAUAUGGCAGCUCAAAAACAGAACAGACUAUGCUGCUCUGCUGAUACUAUUGCAUCUACUUUAUCUACAUUAAAUCAAAUUGACGACAUCUAAUUUAACCAUCUGUAAAUUUAUUACUUGUGAAUGAAAUCCUUUGAACAUUGUGUCUGCAAACUAAGAUUCUUUGAAACCCUGUUCACUUUGUCUUGGUGAAGUUGAAGCUAAAAUCCUGCAAUUCUUUGCAGUUCUUGAUCUUAAGACAGAGGGCUUGGACUUUUUGAAUCAAUGAUCUGUUUUUUGCAUCGUUUGUUAAAGACUGAACAAAUGUAACAGUAGAAUAAGAAAUUAUUCACAAAUGUAAAAGGAGCAUACAUCAGUAAAGUCUCUGACAGAAAAACUUAACAGGCUCCUUACAUUCAGCUACCCUGAACAGAACAGAGAAAGGUAAGAGUGGCUUGCAUCACACAGGAAAACACCCACAAAUCAUCACAGCCUCGCAAGGAUUGCCACCCAACAAAUAUUUGAGAGACUUCAAUAAAUCAAACUCCAGUAAAUCAGAAUAUUGUUCGACCGGUUUAGGUCGAAACUUCUUAUUUAUAAUAUAAUUCAAAAAACUAAAGUCUAAAACACGAGAUUUAGACAUUUCUCUUGGGGAAGAACUAAACUUAAAGGUCUCCACAUGAAUACACGGGUCAGGACGUUCAGGAUAAAUGAACCCGGCUUUAAUGGUGCAAGGUGUCCUUUCCCCUACACAAGAUAUGGAACCACGUCCAGCUACGUGAUAUGGGCGAUAUGGCAUUUGUGUAUGCGCAACGCUAUCCGUAUACCCGAUAUCAUCAUCAUCAGGCUCUAAUUUAGGUUUUAAAAAGUAUAGGGGAAAUGGGCAAUCAAAUUUCACAGGAGAUAACAGAUAUGCACGAAAUGGAGAGAAACACACUUCGUCAACAAGUAUGAAGUCCAUCCGGUAGGGCGAUUGAUAUCCAGACACAGUAUCUGUUUUUGAUUGCUAGUUUGAGAUAAAAAGCCUGGAACCUCCUACACAAUAGGAGUCUAUUGUAAUCAUAGGGGAAUAUUCAGAGUAUUCCAUAGGUUCAGGAAGUUCGGUCCAGCUAUUUUCAGUUGGAUCAAACAGCUCAAAACUUGGACGUCCGACAUAAAAACCACUUCGAUAAAGCAUUUGGGAGAAAACACAAACCUUACCGUCAAAGAUAACCACAGAAGGGCGGACUUUCGAAGCCUUCAUCUCAGAUAAUUCGCCCAGCAGCAUCCCCCGUGAAAAAUCAUAGCCUAACACAGUGGAUUCCCAAUCCCCCUCUUUGCCCCGUCUUUUUAUAUUACUCAGAUCCGGGAUGAUGUACCGACCGCCGAACAUAUAUAAGAUCGAUCCGCAAAAAGCGAAGGCCGUACUAAAGGAUAACAAGGAAUUUGCAAUUGAAGAACUGGAUUCAGCGUCGGUAUACUGAUUGGAUUAGGUUUACAAUUCAGAUUGAAAACGUAUACUGAAUAAAAAGUACCCCUCGGCUGCCUUAAUACACAGCAAACGAUACAAACUUUCUCAGAGGCCAUCACCGCAUCUUCAGCCUCUAGAGCCACGUGUUUUGACGUCUCCCCAAAUCCAGAGGGUUGAGAUAACAGCCGCUUUGCCAUUUUCGUUUGAAGAAGACGCGUAGGUUUUAGGGUUUGAGGAGCUUGAUGAUCCGUUUCUUAAAUACAACGUUUUCUUGCAUGGUGGUCGCACGUACUUCAAAUUAGGGUUUUCUUUCGUUUUUGAUUGGUUUGUUAUUAAACUCGGUCCGAAUAUUCACCGGCCAGCCAAAGAAUCAGAUGGAUGUGUCACUGGUUUAAUGAGCGGAUCAAUGAUUCAAUUAACGGGUAUAAUAAUAUUAAUAGUAUGUAUUGAAAUAAUUAUAAUUAUAAUAUUAAUUAAUUAAUGUGUUCAAAUUGAUAUUUAUACCUCGAAUUUGAGUAUUCUAAGCUAAAUGAUACUUUACAAAUUAUUUAUAUCAUGUGUAAUUACACUAAUCAAAUGAAUUUAUUUAUUUUAAGCAACUACAUUUAUCGUGAUUAGUUUUUAAAACUAUUUCAAAAAAUAUAAUAUCAUUUAAAGUUAGUUUAUUAUAAUAGAGAGUUAGCUCGAAUUUACUAUUAACGUUACAAUAUUCUAUAAUUAUUUUUUACUAACAAACAUUCUCACAUCAUGGUUCUAGGCUAAGAACAGUUCACAAGUAAUGUUCAAACCAAGAAAAUCCCCAAGAAUAGUUCACAACAUACAAACUGAGUAACAAAACAAGUUGCAUACAUAGGAGGCUUGAACUUAGCUACUUAGAAUUUAUCAAUGUCAAGCUGAAAUCCCACAAUUUUGUGGCUAAUUCUGAAUCUUUAGCCUGAGAACUUGGAUUGGCUAUGUUACUGUCCGCAAAAUAUUGUCCAGUUACCCCAUUAACCUGCGGAUUCAAAGCUACGUAGCAUGUAGUGGCUGCUCCCUGUAACCAUUCAUAACAAACUAAUAAAGCUAAUUGACAGAAUUGAGUUGGAACCCAUCAAAUAUUUAAUUCUAAAGGGCAAACCUGUGGGAUGUUUUUGAGAAAAUAUUUACCAACCAGAGAGACAAAUCCUGCAUCAAGCUCAAGCUCAGUUUAUCAAGAAACUGGAAAAUUUUGCAGAUUGUUUGAGUGUCAAAGAAUUACCAUUGAAAAAACUGUGAUACCGCAAAAUAUUUGUAGCAAUUCCUCCGGGAUGAAGUGAAUUAGCAGUUAUAUUUACUCCAUCUUCCUGUUAUAAUCCAAAUGCAGUUAUAUAUAUUGUUGACAGUAAUUCUCUUGGUGCUGUGAUGCUAAGUGCUGUCAGCUUAGCUUUCUUAUUUCUCAUGAAUUGUUUUUGAAUGAAAGCUCUAGAGUAUUUGAAUGUUGAAUGAAUUUGUGGUAGAGCUUAAAUUUAGCCACAAACAAAGAGACAAACUUUCUUAAAUCAUGAGAAGUUAGUAUUAAAUUCUUUGUGGAAAGCUAGUAUAAUGUUGCUAUAUAAAGCAACCCUUGUUAACGAAAGUGUAAGAGAGAAAAACUUGAAAGCUAAGAGUAUGAGAGGAGAGAGCUUUGAAAGAAUAUUAAUUAUGUAGAAAAAAUGAAGAAGAAAAGAAAGAAAAAAAGAUCUGUAUUUGCAUCAACUUUGUCUUUAACUUCCUUAAACUCUGCUAUAUUGCUUUCUUUGUUUUAUCUCCUCUCAAUCUUCAACAUAUAGGCAUUCAAUUACUUGUUUCUUGUUUUGCUAUUACUUAAUAUUAAAAAUGUAUUGUACCUUGAGGCGUCUUGCAAGCUCAUUGGCGUGCAAAAUGUUAGCCAGCUUCGAUUGUCCAUAAGCACGUAUACUUCCGUAUCUGUAAAUUCACGGGUAUAAGAGAGUAAUGCUCAGAAAGACAUGGCUAAUAUAAGUAUUAUACAAUGUACAACCAACUAUUUAGCAGCAUCUACAGAUAGGAUUCCCAAAAUGAACAGUCAAAUACCCCAAUUCGUCAUUGAGUUUAUCAAAACGAAUUCCUUCCUCAUAUGCAGCACGGUGAGCUUCUGACGAUAAGUUAAUAAUUCUUCCCUCUCGAUUGCUUUCGUGUGCUGUUUUCUUCAUGCUCUCCAACAAAAGGUCAGUUAGAAGAAAAUGGCCUACAAAAUGAUCAAGAAAUCUCCUGGAGUUUACCCCUAUUUUGUUUGUAGAAGAUACAUCAUUGCAGAAAUAUUAAUUUACUAAUUCAACAGAACUGUUUGAAAAUGGGGGAGGAGAGCUGGUUUUGGAAUUUUAAAAGAUACAACAAAAAUUAUAUCUUCAACACAUAACAAAGGAAGAGAUAAAGAUGAAGAGGAAAGACAUAAAUUCAUUACUCAUAGUAAAAGGAUUUACAAAGCAUAAAAAACAAAGUUUUUUUUUUCUUCUUCUUCAUUCUCAUAUAGCUAUCCAGCUCUCUCCUCUUUCGCUUUUUUUUUUUUUUCUUCUCUCAAAUCUGUCCCAGCAGCUAGAUUUAUACAAAGAAAUGCAAUCUAGUUUUUACCAACUCUCCACCAAACCCAAUACCUUAAGUUAAACUAAACUAAGAAGUAAGCUUUGCUGCCAUCAUCUUGUUCAAGUUUACAAGAAAGGAAAUGAUCAAAAACACAAGAUGAAUGACAUUUGACAGCCAAAGUGUCACUAUUGCUAACAACAACAAUGUUAUCAAAACAGAGUUUAAGGAAACAACUAGAUUAUCAUAGAAACAAUCUUAGACCUACAAUAAAUGGAAAGACUCGAAGUAUAGAAAUUGUCAACCUUACAUAAUUAUAUGCAACUUACCAACUUGGUUUGUUGCAAACUGUAUUUCUAUGCCAUCUUGGGAAAGUGCAAAAGGUGUUGCCAUAAUGCCAGCAUUGUUACUUCCAACAAAGAAAAAGAGAAACUUUAUAUAGCAGAAAACAGAAUUCCAGUGAACUCAAACUCUUAAAAUUUCUUGUUUCUUACAUAAGGAGAUUAAGCGGAAGACCCGAGGAAAUAUAUUCAGAUGCAAAUUUCCUGACUGAUGCCAUUGAGCUGAGAUCCAACUGCAUAACAUCAAUCUUGGCAUCUGGGAUUUCUUUAAGUAUCGCUUCUUUGACACUCUUACCAGCAUCCACAUUUCUUACUGCCAUAACUACAUGUACACCUCGCAAAGCAAGAACACGUGCUGUCUCUACACCAAGACCACUUGAUGCUCCUGAAAUUAGGUUGGACAUGAAUUAACAGACUAACCUAGCUACUAACAACCAAGAAUUCCUUACAUUAAAUCUUCCAUGUAAUUGAUGAAACAUUUAGGAGAGACACAAGAUGGUCAUAUUCUGCAAAAGCCGUACAGAAGAAAUAUAAUCUAGACCAAAGAUUGAAAUAGGAAGAUAUUUGAAAAGUGGAUUCACAAAAAUCUCUUUCCAUUCAUUUGUGUAAUCAUUUUCUCAAAAUAAAUCCAUUUGACACAAAAACUAAUGAACAUUAAUCAAAUCCACCCACAAAUUCUUGUAAGAUCUAAGCAUCAAUGUAUUAUUACUAUAACACUGAGAUGCCAUUGGAUUAGCAUAUAAUAGGCCAGUAGUCGAGUUGUCUACCUUGCAAGGUGAGGGGUUCAACUUCAAACCCAGGCAAACCAUUCCCCUUUAAAAGUUUUCUAAUGCACCAAACCCAAAAAGGAAAGGAAAAAGACAAUUACUAAAACGCAGUAACAAUCACCAAAACAGACAAGCUUGAGAAAAAAUCAUUAAACCCCAGAAAUAACCACCGACAUUAUUUAUUUUUCAACUCAAAAUAAUAGUUUCCCUAUUUGGAAACUAAAAUGGAAACUGGUAAUCUGCCAUUCAUAAAGAGUCAAUAUUUAUUUUGCUUUCCUCUAAUUUAAACCAAGCAAAAGCUGAAAUUAGAAAAGGAAGUAAAGUAGCAAGGCAAAGGCUACAGAUAAAAACCUGACCAGUGACAAUAGCAGUGAGACCAGUGCCAUCAAUCCCCUGUGUAACUUGCUCAGCUGUGGAACUGGCAGAGAACCCAGAUGGCCCUUUCCACCCAAAGAUCCACAUAUUCAGAUUUUAAAACUACAGAGUUACAAAUUGUUUCUGGCUAUAUACAGAGCUAUAGCUGUUAUUCUUUGACUUCAAACCAAUCAAAUCAUGUCACGGCAAAUCAAAUACUUUUCACAAUUUAUCAGCAUUACUAGAGAUUAUAGUAAUAUUUAAGGAGACUCAUUGUAAACGUACCAACAUAACAUUUUAGAACUAGUUUUAUGCUACAUAUUUUUAUUUUAUAAAAAAUGCAAGGUCUUGCGGUUUGGUGGGAUCUCAUUUUCAUCUUUUCCUGUUUUGCAUAGUGAAGUUCCUACUAUAAAAACCCCUUAUUGUUGAAUUAGUUUUAUGUUACAUAUUUUUAUUUUAUAAAAAAUGCAAGGUCUUGCGGUUUGGUGGGAUCUCACUUGCAUCUUUUCUUGUUUUUCAUAGUGAAGUUCCUGCUAUGAAAACCCCUUAUUGUUCUCGUCAACUAAACUUAAGUGUAACUUACCAUUUGAACCACCUCUGUAUGAGUAUCUAAAAAGCUUAUUCUGAUUAUUAGGUUUUGACUCAAUAAUUCAUAAUAUAGGAUUAGAAAUAAUCCUGUCUCUAUUCGGUGCAAGAUUAUUUUCGAUAUGUUGCAGGACUUUUCUUUUAAAAUUAUUGCUAAUUGAGUAUAAAGCCUUAUUUAGCUUUGCCAAUUGAUGUGUGAGAAAUUGACUAGGAAUUGCUCUCUCCAUUAACACUAAUAUAAUGCACGUAGAAUUAUGGGGCCUAAAUGAAGUUUUAUGUUUGGUUUAGUGGAAAGAGGGAUAAGAGAAAAAAUGGAAAGAAAAUGCUUAAUCCUUCCUGGAAGGGAAAAAACAUAUAUAAGAAAGUAAAGUGAGCCUCUAAGCUCGAUAAACUUCCAAAUUAUGAAUAUUGAUGCAAGAAAAAGGAAGAAAGAUCAAACUUUCAUCUAUAUAUCGUAAUAUAAAUCCGAAACCUGCAUAUAAUACAUUCAUGUUGACUGCAGAAACCAGUUAAACUUUGAUAAAAGUUGGGUUCUGAUACAAGACAAGUAAUAUUCAAAAACCAAUAUGUACAUACACUUUUCUCAGAACUGAGAAAUCAACAGAACAUAUGAACUGAUCAAGGAAACAAGUUACUUAUAUAGGAGGCUUGAACUUGAUUGCUUAGUUACUUAGAACUUGUCAAUGUCAAGCUGAAAUCCCACAAUUUUUUGGCUAAUUCUGCGUCUUUAGCCUGAGAACUUGGAUUGGAGAGAUUACUGUCCACAAAAUAUUGUCCAGUUACCCCAUUAACUUGCGGAUUCAAUGCUACGUAGCAUGUAGUGGCUGCUCCCUGAAACCAUGCAUAACAAAGUAAUAAAGCUACUGCAUUUCUUAGUUGCACUGACAGAACUGGAUUGGAACAUAUCAAAUUUGUUAUUCUAAAGGACAUACCUGUGGGAUAUUUUUGAGAAAAUAUUUACCAACCAGAGACACAAAUCCUGCAUCAAGCCCAAGCUAAGUUUAUCAAGAACUGGAAAAAUUCAACUUGUAAAUGAAUGAAGAAACUAGAUCAAAAUUAACUUCAAUAUUGAAAAGAAUAACCUUAGCCAUACUAAGAAGAGUUGAAGUGUCAAAGUAUUACCAUAGAAAAAACUGUGAUGCCGCAAAAGAUUGGUACCAAUUGACCCAGGAUUAAGUGAAUUAGCAGUUAUAUUUACACCAUCUUCCUGUGUGGAAAGAAGUGGGGGAGAGGUUUAUAAGCUUCUUUUGAGAUAUGUGAUUACUAUGAGAAAUACAUAGUAAAGGGAGAAAACUCCUAGUAUUCAAAACUUAAUAUUUAAAAUGUCUUGUACCUUAAAGCGACUUGCAAGCUCAUUGGCAUGCAAGAUAUUAGCUAGUUUUGAUUGUCCAUAAGCACCUAAACUGCCAUAUCUGUAAAUUCAACGAAUAAGAGUGUGAUGCUCAGAAAUACAUGGAAUAUUGCUAAUCUAUAACCAUCUAUAUGUGCAUUAGUGUAUGCAGAGUGUGUCCAUGUAUUUAGCAGCAUCUAAAGAUAGGAUUCCCAGAAAGAACAGCCAAAUACCCUGAUUCGUCAUUGAGUUUAUCAAAACGAAUUCGUUCACGGUACGCAAAGCGGUGAGCUUCUGAUGAUAAAUUAACAAUUCUUCCCUCUUGAUUGCUUUCACGUGCUGUUUUCUUCAUGGUCUCCAACAGAAGGUCAGUUAGAAGAAAAUGACCUGCAAAAUUAUCAAGAACAUCUCUUACAGUUUAUCCCCAUUUUAUCUGUAGAAGACGAAGGAUAUUAUUAAUAUAUGGGGGAAAAAGAAAUUAAUUUUUAUUUUUUUGAGAGUCUUCACAAAGUAAUCCCAUAUCUGUUAUUCUCUAGGCUUUCUUUUGAUCUGUGUUUUCUCAUGAGUAUUGAACUUACCGACAUAGUUUGUCGCAAACUGUAUUUCUAUGCCAUCUUGGGAAAGUGCGAAAGGUGUUGCCAUUAUGCCAGCAUUGUUACUUCCAACAAAGAAAAUAGAACUUUAGUUCUUGCUGUUCAAUUUCAAAAGACUUCCUAAAUGGGUGUACAAUGUGCACAUUAAAGAAUAGUUAGGAAGAGAGCUGCCUUUAUAAAAAGUUCCAUGAAAGAACAGAAUAGAAUCAAAAUAGCAAGCAGCAAAACAAUCACUCAAAUGGGCUUGCAAAGCAGAGAAUAUCUGUACACAUUUAAGAGGAAUUUACAUAACAGAAAACAGAAACCCAGUGAACUCAAAACUCUUAAUCUUAGUUUCUUACAUAAGAAGAUUCAGCGGAAGACCAGAGGAAAUAUAUUCAGAUGCAAAUUUCCUGACAGAUGCCAUUGAGCUGAGGUCCAACUGCAUAACAUCAAUCUUGGCAUCAGGGAUUUCUGUAAGUAUUUCUUCUUUGACACUCUUACCAGCAUCCACAUUCCUUACUGCCAUAACCACAUGCACACCUCGCAAAGCAAGAACACGAGCUGUCUCCGCACCAAGACCGCUUGAUGCUCCUGAAAUUAGGCCCAAAAUGAAUUAACAGACUAACCUAGCCUAAUAACCAAGAAUUCCUGACAGACAUAAAUUGUCAUAAUGGAUAAAACAUGUAGGAUAGACAAUAAAGACAUGUAAGAGAGACAUUUAAGGAAAGAGAGUAGGAAGGACAAAAGAGAGACAUUUAAGGAAAGAGAGUAGAAAGGACAAAGGCUAUAGAUAAAACGUAACCUGUAACAAUAGCAGUGAGGCCAGUACCAUCAAUCCCCUGUGUAACUUGCUCAGCUGUGGAACUGGCAGAGAACCCAGAUGGCCCUUUCCACCCAAAAAUCCACAUAUUGCCUGUUCUAAAACUAGAGUUACAAUUUGUUUCUGGCUAUAUACAGAGCUAUAGCUGUUGUUUUUUGACUUCAAGUCAAUCACAAUCGUGUCGCGACAAAUCAAAACUUGAAUAUAUAUAUAUAUUAGUGCAAGAACUUGGCACAUCUGCUUGUUCUUAUAUUGCUUAUUAACAGAAAAAACCAAUACAAAACCCAACCCUUUUUAGUUUUUCACCGCAAAGUUCUUUUAAUUAUAUUAUAAUAUUACCUUAUUCAUUUCUCAUUCCCUAUUCAUUCUUCUUCAACCUCCAUCUUUGCACCGAAACAAAACCUAACAAAGCCUAAUCAUUCUCGUUGUUGAUAACUGCAGAUAAAAGAAAUCUGAAAAUUAUGCUUGUUAACCUUAUUUACUUCAUCGAUUGAGAAAAACCCAACAAAGCCUAAUCAUUCUCGUUGUUGAUAACUGUAAAUAAAAGAAAUCUGAAAAUUAUGUUUGUUAACCUUAUUUACUUCAUUGAUUGAGAAAUUUCACAAGAAUCCACAGAUUAUAUUGCGUAAAUCUCCUUUUUCUUGCCCUAAUUCCACAUCCCAGGCUCAACUAAUACUGGAUUAAAGCCAAGAAUCUUUUUGUUAAGAAAAGAACAAGAACUUCACUUCCGUCAUAAUUCGUUAUAUUAACCCAAGCACAGCCAGAGCAAAAAUGGACGCAAGAAAUAUAUUCUUUUAACAAAAAGAUUCCUGAACGAAUGGAUUUCAAUGACUUCUAAAUAUAAAAUAUAUUUUUUGUUUAGAUACAUGUCAUUUCAUUUCUUUAUCUAUCCUGAUUAUAUCGUAAUUAAUAUCAUUAAUUAUUUACUAAUGACUUCAAUUGAGACAUAAUCAGGGACUUGUAUAAUUGCAGAAACCAUUGUAGAAGGUUCUUCCAUCAUAUGUAAAAAAGGCAUAUGGGUUUUGAUACAAGUAAUAUUUAAAACCAAGAAAAUCCCCCAAAAAAAGUUGAUAUGUCCACACACUUUUUCACAACUGAAAAAUCAACAGAACAUUCAAACUGAGUAAUAGAACAAGUUGCUUAAAUAGGAGGCUUGAACUGCACUGGUUAGCUAUUUUGGAUUUGUCAAUGUCAAACUGAAAUCCCAUAGUUUUUUGGCUAAUUCUGGAUCUUUAGCCUGAGAACUUGGAUUGGCUAUGUUACUGUCCAUAAAAUAUUCUCCAGUUACCCCCUUGACCUGCGGAUUCAAUGCUACGUAGCAUGUAGUCGCUGCUCCCUACAACCGCACAUAAAAAACUAAUAAACAUACUGCAUUGCUUACUUGCAGCAGUGACAAAUUGAAUUGGAAAUAUCAAAUGUUUGAUUCUAAAGGACAUACCUGUGGAACAUUUUUGAGAAAAUAUUUACCAACCAGAGACACAAAUCCUGCAUGAAGCCCAAGCUCAGUUUAUCAAGAACUGGAAAAUUCAAACUUAGUAAAAUGAAGAAACUUAUUAAGCCUGAUAAUGAUCGGAUGUAAUACGCCGAAAAUUUGGUAGAUCAAAUUAACUUUCAAUAGUCAAAAGAAUAACCUUAGCCUAUGUCAAAGAGGAGUUGAAGUGUAAAGGAAUUACCAUUGAUGACACUGUGAUACCGCAAAAGAUUUGUAACAAUUGCCCCAGGAUGAAGUGAAUUAGCAGUUAUAUUUACUCCUCCUUCCUGCAUUGGAAAAAAAAGUGAGUGACAAGCUUAUAAGACUUGUUUUGAGAUACUUGUGAGAUUACUAUGACAAAACCACACAAUGGGAGAAAGGCUCCCGAAUCAUAAAGCAACUCCUAGUAUGCAUGCGAUAGGGAUACCAUAGGAAGCAUUUAUAGUAAACCAUUCAAAAAAGCAAUCAAUGUAAUAUAUUAUUUUGAUUUAGUGCAAAAUAUCUGAAAAGGAAAACAAAGAGAAAAAUAGGUACAGAGGAAAAGUCCUUCAUUAGCCAGGAUGUAACUAAAGGGCCAAGGAUAAGAGGCACCUUUAAUAUAUAUAUACAUUCAAGUAUUUGUUCCCUGUGUUUUCUUUUUUCUUUUGGAUUAUCAAAGCACUAAAGUUAAAUAACGGUUGAUCAACAAUUUAAACAAUGUUGCUUGUCAAUAAAGAUUUUCUGGUGAUUUCAAAGUUUUUCCAAGGUAUUAGCAAAUAUGCAGAACAUUGUGAGGACCAAAUUUCCACAAGCAUUGAACAUUAUUUUACCGAUUCACCUUGGGACAACCACAUUUCAAUCAGACUAUGGCAAUGACAAGUAGAUACAUCUUACAAAACUUACUAUAUAUGUUUAGAAAUCUUAGAUUAUUAGAAACUUCAUUGACCAAAAAGAAUGACAAUGUCCUGGAAUCUGACCUCUUCCAAAGAUUUUCAUUAGAGACUCUAAUUACUUAAAUUUAAAAUGUCUUGUACCUUAAGGCGUUUUGCAAGCUCAUUGGCAUGCAAAAUGUUAGCCAGCUUUGAUUGUCCAUAAGCACCUAAACUGCUGUAUCUGUAAAUCCACAGGUAUAAGAGGGCAAUAUUCAGAAAUACAUGGAAUAUUGCUAAUCUGUGCAUUAUAGAUUGUACAACCAUCUAUAUGUGCUCUCGUGGAUGCAGUGUGUGUCCAUGUAUUUAGCAGCAUCUAAAGAUAGGAUUCCCAGAGAACAGCCAAAUACCCUGAUUCGUCAUUGAGUUUAUCAAAAUGAAUUCCUUCACGGUAUGCAAAGCGGUGACCUUCUGAUGAUACAUUAACUAUUCUUCCCUCUUGAUUGCUUUCACGUGCUGUUUUCUUCAUGCUUUCCAACAAAAGGUCUGUCAGAAGAAAAUGGCCUGCAAAAUGAUUAUGAAAUCUCUUAGAGUUUACCUCCAUUUAUGUUUGUAGAAGAUACAUCAUUGCAGAAACAUUUACUAAUUCAAGAGAACAAUGUUUAUGAAAACAGAGUUUGAAGAAGUCACUAAACUAUUGUAGAAAUGACAUAUAAUAAAUAAUAAGACUGAAAGAAGUAUAGAAAGUACUUCGAAGAAUCACGAAAGUUAUUAAUCCAUGGGAAAAAAAAAGGCAAUUUUUAUUUUUUUGAGAGUUUUCACAAAGUAAUCCUAUAUGGCUUAUUCUUUAGACUGCCUAUAUUGGCUGUUUCCAACGGAUGUUUGUUGAUAUUCCCCCAUAUUCAAUUGCAAGGAAUUUGAAACCUUUUGUGCUAGAUCAGUUUUAUUACUAUGCAUUCUCCAUUCGAUCUCAUUUCUAAAUCAAAAGCAUACUAUGUUGCAUUUUGCUGCCACGACAUAUAUUGGAACCAAACUAUAAGGAAAUUUCUUACAGAAAUUAUCUGCAACUUACCAACAUGAUUUGUUGCAAACUGUAUUUCUAUGCCAUCUUGGGAAAGUGUGAAAGGUGUUGCCAUAAUCCCUGCAUUGUUACUUCCAACAAAUAAAAAGAACUUUUAAGCUCUUGCGUUCAAUUUCAAAAGGUAUCCUUAAUUGGUGUACAAUGAAAGAGCAGAAUAGAAUCAAACAGCAAGCAGCAAAACAAUCAGAGUCACAUGUGCAUGCAGAACAGAGAAUUCCGACACACAUUUAAUAGGAAUUUAUAUAACAAACAGAAAUAGAAUCCAGUGAACUCGAACUCUUAAUAUAGUUUCUUACAUAAGGAGAUUCAGCGGGAGAUCCAAGGAAAUAUAUUCGGAAGCAAAUUUCCUGACAGAUGCCAUUGAGCUAAGAUCCAACUGCAUAACAUCAAUCUUGGCAUCGGGGAUUUCUUUAAGUAUCGAUUCUUUGACACUCUUACCAGCAUCCACAUUCCUUACUGCCAUGACCACAUGUACACCCCGCAAAGCAAGAACACGUGCUGUCUCCGCACCAAUACCACUUGAUGCUCCUGAAAUUAGACAGAAUGAAUUAACAAACUAACCUAACCUACUAACAACCAAAAAUUCCUUACGUAAUCUACAUUGUCAUUUAGGUAAUAAUCAAUCUUCCACAUAAUCGAUAAAACAUGUAGGAGGGAAUUUUAAGCAGGAAGGUCUUACAGAAAUUGGUAUCAACAAAGUCUAGAGCUGAUGGUCAUAUACUAUGCAACAAUCAUUACAAAAGAAAUAUAACAACCCAGAACCAAAAAUACAAAUAGUUAGAUAUUUCAAAAGUCCACCCAAAAGAAUCUCUCUGUAUUCAUUUAUGUAAUCAACUCCUUAGGAUAAAUCUAUUUAAAAAAGGAACCAAUGAAAAAUAAGCUCACAAGCACAAGUGUUCAUUAACAACUCCGCCCACAAAUUCUUGCAAGAACUAAGCAUCCAUGUAUUAUUACAAAAACACUGAGAUGCCAUUGGUCUACCAGGGCUAGUACGACAAUAGACGAGUUGUCUGCUUUGUAAGGUGAGGGGUUCAAACCCAGGCAAACCACUCCCCUUUAAAAAUUCUCCAAAUGGACCACGGAAAAAAAAAGGGCUUGAGACAAUUAUGAAAACGCAGUAACAGCCACUAAAAUAUACAAGCUUGAGAAAAAUUAUUAAACCCCACAGAUAAUCACGAACUUGUUCCCCUUUUUGAAAGCUAAAAAUGGCAACUUGUAAUUUACCAUUUAUAAAGAUUCAAUAUUUAUUUUGCUUCCCUCUAAUUUAAACCAAACAAAAGCUGAAAUUAGAAAAGGAAAGAAACUAGCUAGGCAAAGACUGCAGAUAAAACCUAACCUGUGACAAUACCAGUGAGGCCAGUUCCAUCAAUCCCCUGUGUAACCUGCUCAGCUGUGGAACACGCAGAGAACCCAGAUGCCCCUUUCAACCCAAAAAUCCACAUAUUGCAGAAUUUGAAACUAGAGAGUUACAAAUUGUUUCUGGCUAUGCUUCAAAAACUGACCAAACAUGGAAAUAUAUUGCUAUGAAGAGCCAAAAGUUUUAUUGUUUGACUUCAAGCCGAUCACAGUCAUUUCGGGACCAAUCAAAAUUUGAUGUAUAGAUUAGUACAUGAACUUGCCACAUGUGCUUGAUAUUUGCACUUACUAAACAUUGGUUUUGACAAUCCAUGUCUGUUCUCCUGUGACGAACAGCUGGUGCAAAAUUAAAAUUUUGUAGCAAAUUCAACAAAGUUUUCAAUUUAUCGGCCCGAAAGUGCUUUACCAUUCAUUUUUAUUAUUUAAUAGCAUCAACUUAGAUUAUAGUAAUAAUUAAGGAGUAAUUGCAACAUUAAAAUGUAUUUUUGUUGUUGAGUUGAUUUAAUUUGUAUUAUUAUUUGUUAACCAAAAUAGUAAUUUUUGGUUUUGUUUUUCCUUCAAAAAACUUAUAUUUCCCUUUCAAUGGAGAAAGGAAUUUGGAUAGAAUUUUAAGAUUAAAGAUACUAUACACAUAUAAGAUUAUUUCCAUUUCAUUCAAAAUUAUAGCUUUAAGUACUAAUUAAACAAUAAUAUUUUAUCUAACUCUGAGAUAAUUUAUUAAAAAAAUUAUCUUUGAGAGUGUUUUAAUUACAUGUAGUUGGGGUAUUCAGUUCCAGUUAAUAAGUUAAUAAUUCGAGUUCAGUCCCACUUAUAUUUGCAAGUUAUCACAUUUAUCAAAUCCAAGUGACAUCAGAAUAACUUAAUUUCUACUUGCACAGUAGUUUCUCUAGCAAAUGAACUUGGAUAGGUUGAAAGCUACUUAUCUUGUGCUUGGUGUGAGCUGUGAUUCCACAUUUUACAUUUACUUAGAAAGUUGAAAGAGGAAUAAAAUUGUUGUAAGCAUAAAUUUGCCUCUAAAGCUAACACUUUUAUCCUUGAAUCACUCUUACGUUUAUUGCUAAAAAGUGUAACUUUAGGAGCACAAUAAGUCUCCAUAGAUUUAAGUUGCCGCAAGGAUAAAAGUAUUAACUUUGGAAGUAAAUUUAUGCAUUAGGCACAAAAAAAAUUUUCGUCUUGGCUCAACUUAGGCUAGAUUUUGGGCAAGGGUUGUUUGAGCACAAUGUCCUGAGUUUGGGUUCAAUUAUGCAGUAUAAUAUGGAGUGAACAUUUCGAGGGAGCCAGCUCAAAUGGCAUUAUGCAGCUCCCCACUUUUCUUUUCUUUAUAAAAAAGAAAGGAGAGGGAGAGAGAGAGAGAGAGAGAGAGAGAGAAAGAAGCACUGAGCCUUGAAAAGGACAGUGGUGAAGAUCAAUUGUGUGAAGAACUAAAGAAGAAAGAUGGUUGAAAACAGUGGCUGCUCAAGGAGCAAGCCACACAAAACCAUCCACAAGAGCAUAAGUGAAUUCUCAACUAAAAUCACAUCAUUAUUACGACAAUUGGAACUUGAGAUUGAAUUUUAGGUGAAGCAAUAGAAUUGUGGAUGGGAAGUUCCAAUCAAUGGACCUUCCAACCACUUGACUAUUCUCAUCAGCACUAAGCAGACAUGAUAAUGUAGGACAAGAUUUUGCUUAAUGAAAGGAAGAUAGCAGAAUAAAGAUAAAAAAGAAUUUCUCCAUUCAAUAGGGGUCACAAACUUGAUACAUCACCAAUACUAGAUAAUUUACACACAUGAUUAACAUAAUUAACUUUUUCAAUACCAGAUUCACAUGGAAGCGGAAGAGAACCAAAAAUACACAACAAAAGAAAAAACAAAAAAAAAAAAAACAGAACACUAAAGUAGAAAAGUGAUGGUGAAAUGCAAAGCAGCAUUUAAGCCCUGCUCUUGAAAGGAAUAGCUCUAAUGACUAUCUGGUGGUACAGAGCAGCAAGAGCAGCUCCAAUGAAGGGCCCAACCCAAAAAACCCACUGCACAAGCACAAAUAGACAAAUUGCAAGAAAUUAAAAAUCUAUUCAUCUUUGGUAAAGUGGCAAAAAUUCUCUCUUGAAAGUCAG